CCCUUAGAUGUUCUGGGCCGCACGCGCGCUACACUGACUACUUCAACGAGUUGUUUCCUUGAUCGAAAGGUCUGGGUAAUCUUUGAAAGGUAGUCGUGAUGGGGAUAGAUCCUUGCAAUUUUUGAUCUUCAACGAGGAAUUCCUAGUAAACGCAAGUCAUCAGCUUGCAUUGAUUACGUCCCUGCCCUUUGUACACACCGCCCGUCGCACCUACCGAUUGAAUGGUCCGGUGAAUCUUUAGGACUGUGGCUGAGGCCUUGCCUUGUGCGGGUCUGGCCGUGGGAAUUUAGUUAAACCUUACCAUUUAGAGGAAGGUGAAGUCGUAACA
This 328-nucleotide ribosomal RNA is filed under the name uncultured eukaryote. RNAcentral's name for it is "partial 18S ribosomal RNA". It matches the Rfam family "Eukaryotic small subunit ribosomal RNA", at positions 1470 to 1796 of the family's 1831-position model. The record is from RNAcentral.